GCUUCAGUGGGUGUGACUUUUGCUACUGCAGUCACUCCUGAACUUCAGACUCCAGUUUCUUCAGCCUUUUAAUAGGGACUCACAGCUGUAAAUCUCCAGGAUUCCUCCAAGUCAUCCCCUCAGUCUGACACUACAUCCUAGAUCCCUGUUGUUUGGGGGUUCCAGCUUCUUGGCUUGAGCACCUGUGGAUCCUCUGGCUCCCGAGUGUGUAGAGGCCAAUGACAAUGAUGGAAGGAUCAAUUUUGAAAUCUUUACAAUGUAUUCCUCUUUUUGUCACCAUAAAAACUUACUAUCUGAAAAAUUAUUCAGGAAAGCACCACUGUAUUGGAAAGGCUUAAAUCAGCUUCCUCAAUGAUGACUCAGGCUUCUAAGAUCAAGACAUGUAUUAUCCAAAAUUGGGAAUCCCGUGGUGUAGAUUAAAAUAAGGAAAGUGGUCAUAAACAGCAUCCGGGCUCAUCAUGGCAGUGGUGGCAACUCAACCAGUAUGGAGUCUUCUAAGGAAGACCUAUUCAAUUGAGGGAAGGCUCCCUCUACCACUUGACAGCCCAAGUACUUGACAAAACUGGCCUAUAUUAAAGGUCACAGUGAUUAAAAACAAUGUGGUGAAGACAUUCAGGGCUGAGUGACUGUUGCUAAGCCACUUAGUGUGAACAAUGCGGCACCAAGAAAGGGAGAAGCACUGUGUAUGCCUUAUCCUAAGCAGGUGCAAGCAAGGCAGAUCACCGCACAGACCUACGAGACAGCCUUCUCCCCUGGGUUCCAAUAAAGAAUACCUUUCCAGCCAAGUCAUCAAGAGACAGACAUGGAGGCACCAAAACACCACACAAGCAACAGCAUCUCUUGGUUUCUCAAUAACAUUCAAAGUUAUUUUAGUACAGAAAAUAGAAAAGCAUUUGUGGUAGGGGCUUUUCAACCCAAAAACACAAGGUUGGAGAAAAAAAAAGCUUCUUCUAGUGUCACCAUUUAGACUUUCAGAGUUGUGUGUCCUGCACACACUAUACCAUUUCAUCACCAAAAGUCACCCAACUAGUGUGUCAGUUACAAGACACAGAGGCCAAAUAAGGAGGAAAACUCUGAGAAGGGUACCUAGCACCUUGUAUUUCUCUCAUGUGGACUGGUGGGCUGGUGGAGAGGUAGUAGCAACAAUCCUCACAUAAGAAAAAGAAAUCAAAUCUACGUAGUUAUUCCACAGAUAGUGAAAACAGGCAGUCGCCCAGAUCUUAUGUUCCAACCACCCUUUCAUGGGAAGCCAGGUCUAUGCUAGCCUUGUUAUUUCAAAAGAAGCUGAGAAGGAAAAGUGGCUGCCCAAUUGAAGUGCUUGCCAAUAAUCCAGUUUUUUCAGGAGAAAGGUACAGUGACCCCUCCAGAGCACAGGCACAAACUUGCUUGUGGCUGAAUUCACUAAGCACAUUUUUAAUAAAGAAAACUGAAGGACAAACCAAAUUGAAAGAAUCACUGUUAUAAUAAUUUUAAUUUAUCUUGCGUUUUACAGAAAUCUAUGAAUGAUUUUAGAAAAGCACCUCCUUACCCCAUCUUGUUUCUCUGACAGUUGUUAAAGUAGGCAAUAAGUAUGUCAACAGCUUGAGCAUCGGCAAGGAUUUCAGAUCAACCAACCACUCGUCAAAGAACUUGGCAGCUUUUCUAUAUCAUGUUUUUAAUACAAUGAUAUAUCCACUCUGAUGGUAAACCUGUCCAGCCAAUUCCUCAGAACAUGCUUUGCAAAAUCAGUGGUGAUUAGCAAAUUAGUUAGCUUUGGCACAGAGCUGUGCUCGUUUGCCUGUGACAGCCUGGAAGCCAGUUUUGAUACUGGCAACACAGCAUCGAGAAUGACAAGUUUCACACUGUAAGAAAUAGAGCCUGGUGUCCUUCUGCAGAAUUGUGUCCUGUGAUCGGCAUGUGUGACAAGUGACAUAUUCCUUGAUAUAUCUUCUUAAGACAUUUUCUAUCUGUUUCUGUUGGAAUCUUCCUUUGAUUACAAGUUGGUUUUACCAUCUGUAGAACCACUUGUACCCAAUUCUGCCAAUAAAAAUGCAAGAAGAUGUUUGGGCUGACAAUGUAAUAGUUUACAGAUAUCUAUAAGUUGACAAAAGAAGUUUUCUGGGUUCCUGCUUGGAUGACCUGUGGAGAUUUCAUGACAAAUUUUCUUUUUUCUCCAGCAACCAUAUCUGGAUUCUUUUCCCUCAUGAUGUUGAACACUCGAUUCAGUAGCUCUUCAUAUGUGUAGUCUCUCUCCGAGCCUGUCCAAGCAGGGCCUGUCUGGUUACUGAAUGAGAUAACAUCACCUUUUUUUCUGUCUUCAUCUUCUAAAGCUUCUUCUUUUUCUAGUAUUUCAUCCUCAUCGGGGAACUUAACAUUCUUCUUUUUCUUCUUUUUAUUGCCAAGCAUAAUAUCAAGGUCAUCCUCUGGUUCAGCUGGCCCUUGGAUAUCUCUUUCAAUCUUAAGAUCCUUUAUACCCUCUUCAGCUUCAUCAAUAUCAAAUAUCUUUUCUGUUUUUUUUUCUUCUGAUUAAAGAAAUUCAAGUCAUCUAGAUCAUCAGAAGCAUCUUUCUUCUUACUGUCCUCUUCAUCAGCUUCCACAUCUUUGUCACCAGUUGGUUCUGGCUCCACUUCUUUUGUUUCUGAGGGCUGGGUUUCUUCUGUCUGGGUAUCUCCUUCCUCAUCUAACAUGAAGGACUUCUUCUUCUUUUUCUUUUUGCUCAUAGUAGGAUCAAAAAUCAUCUUGUCCCCAGACAUGGCUGCAGCUCGAGUGGGCUCAGCAAGGAUGGGAAGUGAGACAGAUCAGUCCCAGGCCUCGGCGUCAGCGCUGCUCUUACCGAAACACUUCCAAGAACUGCACUAGGCUCUUGCAUCAGCGAAAGGGGAAGAGUCUACUUUUUUUAAAGUAUAAAGUUAAAUCACGUAUAAAUAGUAAAAAUUUGAUUUCCUUCUCUCUGAUUUGUAUUCCUAUUAUGUCUUUCUUUUUUUACUCUGGCUAAAAUCUCAAGUUCUAUAUUGAGUAAGUGAUGAGAGUCCACAUUCUUGUCUUGUUUCUGAUUGCAGAGGAAGUACUUGCAAUUUUCCCCCUAUUAGGUAUAAUGU
RNAcentral lists this long non-coding RNA (3077 nucleotides) under Heterocephalus glaber (naked mole-rat). Its description in RNAcentral is "lncRNA (ENSHGLG00000040762.1)". The record is from RNAcentral. Lineage: Eukaryota; Metazoa; Chordata; Mammalia; Rodentia; Bathyergidae.